GGUUAAGUGACUAAGCGUACACGGUGGAUGCCUAGGCAGUCAGAGGCGAUGAAGGGCGUGCUAAUCUGCGAAAAGCGUCGGUAAGGUGAUAUGAACCGUUAUAACCGGCGAUACCCGAAUGGGGAAACCCAGUGUGUUUCGACACACUAUCAUGUCAUGAAUACAUAGUGGCAUGAGGCGAACCGGGGGAACUGAAACAUCUAAGUACCCCGAGGAAAAGAAAUCAACCGAGAUUCCCCCAGUAGCGGCGAGCGAACGGGGAGGAGCCCAGAACCUGAAUCGGCUUGUGUGUUAGUGGAAGCGUCUGGAAAGUCGCGCAGCAAAGGGUGAUAGCCCCGUACACUAAAAUGCACAGGUCGUGAGUUCGAUGAGUAGGGCGGGACACGUGACAUCCUGUCUGAAUAUGGGGGGACCAUCCUCCAAGGCUAAAUACUCCUGACUGACCGAUAGUGAACCAGUACCGUGAGGGAAAGGCGAAAAGAACCCCGGCGAGGGGAGUGAAAUAGAACCUGAAACCGUGUACGUACAAGCAGUGGGAGCACCUUCGUGGUGUGACUGCGUACCUUUUGUAUAAUGGGUCAGCGACUUAUAUUUUGUAGCAAGGUUAACCGUAUAGGGGAGCCGUAGGGAAACCGAGUCUUAACUGGGCGACUAGUUGCAAGGUAUAGACCCGAAACCCGGUGAUCUAGCCAUGGGCAGGUUGAAGGUUGGGUAACACUAACUGGAGGACCGAACCGACUAAUGUUGAAAAAUUAGCGGAUGACUUGUGGCUGGGGGUGAAAGGCCAAUCAAACCGGGAGAUAGCUGGUUCUCCCCGAAAGCUAUUUAGGUAGCGCCUCGUGAACUCAUCUUCGGGGGUAGAGCACUGUUUCGGCUAGGGGGCCAUCCCGGCUUACCAAACCGAUGCAAACUCCGAAUACCGAAGAAUGUUAUCACGGGAGACACACGGCGGGUGCUAACGUCCGUCGUGAAGAGGGAAACAACCCAGACCGCCAGCUAAGGUCCCAAAGUCAUGGUUAAGUGGGAAACGAUGUGGGAAGGCAUAGACAGCCAGGAUGUUGGCUUAGAAGCAGCCAUCAUUUAAAGAAAGCGUAAUAGCUCACUGGUCGAGUCGGCCUGCGCGGAAGAUGUAACGGGGCUAAACCAUGCACCGAAGCUGCGGCAGCGACGCUUAGGCGUUGUUGGGUAGGGGAGCGUUCUGUAAGCCGUUGAAGGUGGCCUGUGAGGGUUGCUGGAGGUAUCAGAAGUGCGAAUGCUGACAUAAGUAACGAUAAAGCGGGUGAAAAGCCCGCUCGCCGGAAGACCAAGGGUUCCUGUCCAACGUUAAUCGGGGCAGGGUGAGUCGACCCCUAAGGCGAGGCUGAAAAGCGUAGUCGAUGGGAAACAGGUUAAUAUUCCUGUACUUGGUGUUACUGCGAAGGGGGGACGGAGAAGGCUAGGCUGGCCGGGCGACGGUUGUCCCGGUUUAAGCGUGUAGGGGGUGUGACCUGGUAAAUCCGGUUGCAUAUCAACCCUGAGGCGUGAUGACGAUGCACUACGGUGCAGAAGUAGUUGAUGCCCUGCUUCCAGGAAAAUCCUCUAAGCUCCAGGUAACAUUAAAUCGUACCCCAAACCGACACAGGUGGUCAGGUAGAGAAUACCAAGGCGCUUGAGAGAACUCGGGUGAAGGAACUAGGCAAAAUGGUGCCGUAACUUCGGGAGAAGGCACGCUGGCAUGUAGGUGAAGUCCCUUGCGGAUGGAGCUGAAGCCAGUCGAAGAUACCAGCUGGCUGCAACUGUUUAAUAAAAACACAGCACUGUGCAAACACGAAAGUGGACGUAUACGGUGUGACGCCUGCCCGGUGCUGGAAGGUUAAUUGAUGGGGUCAGCCGCAAGGCGAAGCUCUUGAUCGAAGCCCCAGUAAACGGCGGCCGUAACUAUAACGGUCCUAAGGUAGCGAAAUUCCUUGUCGGGUAAGUUCCGACCUGCACGAAUGGCGUAAUGAUGGCCAGGCUGUCUCCACCCGAGACUCAGUGAAAUUGAACUCGCUGUGAAGAUGCAGUGUACCCGCGGCAAGACGGAAAGACCCCGUGAACCUUUACUAUAGCUUGACACUGAACAUUGAGCCUUGAUGUGUAGGAUAGGUGGGAGGCUUUGAAGCGUGGACGCCAGUCUGCGUGGAGCCAUCCUUGAAAUACCACCCUUUAAUGUUUGAUGUUCUAACUCGGCCCCAUAAUCUGGGGUGAGGACAGUGUCUGGUGGGUAGUUUGACUGGGGCGGUCUCCUCCCAAAGAGUAACGGAGGAGCACGAAGGUUAGCUAAUCACGGUCGGACAUCGUGAGGUUAGUGCAAAGGCAUAAGCUAGCUUGACUGCGAGAGUGACGGCUCGAGCAGGUACGAAAGUAGGUCUUAGUGAUCCGGUGGUUCUGAAUGGAAGGGCCAUCGCUCAACGGAUAAAAGGUACUCCGGGGAUAACAGGCUGAUACCGCCCAAGAGUUCAUAUCGACGGCGGUGUUUGGCACCUCGAUGUCGGCUCAUCACAUCCUGGGGCUGAAGUAGGUCCCAAGGGUAUGGCUGUUCGCCAUUUAAAGUGGUACGCGAGCUGGGUUUAGAACGUCGUGAGACAGUUCGGUCCCUAUCUGCCGUGGGCGUUGGAAGAUUGAGAGGGGUUGCUCCUAGUACGAGAGGACCGGAGUGAACGCACCACUGGUGUUCGGGUUGUCAUGCCAAUGGCAUUGCCCGGUAGCUAAGUGCGGAAAAGAUAAGCGCUGAAAGCAUCUAAGCGCGAAACUUGCCUCAAGAUGAGUCUUCCCUGGGCCUUUAAGGCCCCUGAAGGAACGUUUAAGACUAAGACGUUGAUAGGCUGGGUGUGUAAGUGCAGCGAUGCAUUGAGCUAACCAGUACUAAUGAUCCGUGAGGCUUAACCUU
Molecule: ribosomal RNA, 2908 nt
Filed under: Serratia marcescens
Lineage: Bacteria; Pseudomonadati; Pseudomonadota; Gammaproteobacteria; Enterobacterales; Yersiniaceae
Also listed under: 1 other name
Description: bacterial LSU rRNA
Rfam family: Bacterial large subunit ribosomal RNA
Source: RNAcentral